GCAAAGAUGUUCUAAUCUGCGUUUGAGGGGUCGGGUUUGGGUUGUGCUACGUUCGUUAAAGAGGGGAUGGCGUACAGAGUAUUGGAGAUACAGGAAUUGGAGUGUGUGGGGAUAAAAAUGAUGUAGAUGUGGAUAUGAUUGAGGGUAGAAGAGAAUGGGGUGAUGACGUGAGACGGGGUGUGGAGAGAUGUAUAGAUAAUCGGUUUUAUUUGUUUUUAAUUAUUUAUACAGAUGGUUCAAAUGAUCCAGUCAGUGGUAGGGUGGGGGCUGGGGUGUAUAUCCCAGAUGUCAAUGUUAGAGUAUGUAAGCGGUUAAUUGAUUGUGUCAGUGUAUGCGGCCGAGUUGAUGGCAAGAUUAUAGGUUUGAGAUGGGUGGAGGAGAUGAAACCACUCAGAAUGGUGAUCUGCUCUGAUUCGGCUGCAGUGUUGAGUAGUGUGAAGACGGGCAGGUCGGAUAGGGGAGACUUGUUUGUGUAGAUGAUGGUGUUGUUAAUGGGAUUGAAGAGGAUGAGAGUGGUGGUAAGCUUUUGUUGGGUUCCCGCCCAUGUGAGUGUGGAGGGUAAUGAGAAGGCUGAUGUGGUGGCUAAGAGUGUGGUGAGGAGAGAGGGGGUAGAUAUUCAGGUCCCGUUGGGCCAUAAGGAAGUCAAGUCCUUGAUCCGGGCAAAAGUGCUUGAUCUUUGACAAAGGGAGUGGGAUGCUAGUAGUAAGGGGUGGUAAUUUUAUCGCGUGCACCGGUCAGUUAAGGAAGAGGUGGGGAGUAUGGGAUGUAAGAGAGAGGAAGUUGUGUGGAGUAGACCACGGUUUGGGCACAGGUUUGAAUGCCACGUUGUGGAUGAUAAGGAUACACGAAACAGGUCUGUGUGAUGAGUCUUUAGUGGAAGAAACAGUGGAGCAUGUGUUGAUAUUUUGUGACGUAGAUAGGGAGAGAAUCCCUCAAAACGCAGCACGAACGGCUCAAAGCAGACUGAGCAGCAAUACUUUGACGUUGAGAAGAGGUUGGCAGAGAGUCAGGAGCAGAUUGUGUCUCAUACCCGGAUUACCAGACUCUCAAAGAGGAGAACAGCAAACUCGAGCUGAACAAUCUGAAAGUUGUGGAUGUGGAAUCGUCAGAGGAGAAGGAAUCACAGCAGCCGCACUGUGAGAAGCUUAUGGAGCAGGAGAAGCAGCUGCAACAAAACCAGAACACGUGGCUGAACUCUGAACCAAGACAGAGGAGCUGCUGUCAGUCUCCAGGGAAAAGGGCAAGGAGAUCCUGGAGCUCAAGUGCAGCCUGGAGGGGAAGCGGGAUGAGGUCACAAGGCUUCAAACCCAAGUCACUAACCCGAAGAAUAGCAGUGAGAACCUGCAGAAGCUAGUGGAGGACCUGAUGACCAAACUGAAAGAGGCUAAAGACCAACAGAGCACCAUGGAGGUGUGAACUAAACGCUCACAUCAAGCACUCUCCAACUUGUACAAGGGGGCAGCGUCAGACGCCGAGUACAAGAAUGAAGAGCUGAACAGGGCCGUGGAGGAGGUCCGCAAGCUGGUGAAGGAGGCUGGUAAUGCGAGACAGACCAUAGAGAAGAAGCUGGCGGACAUGGAGGGGUCAAAGGGAAAACAGGAGGCUGAGCUGAAGGAGAAGAUCAAGAAGAUGGAGGAGGAGCUGGAGAACGCCAACCUGCGGGCCUCAGAUAAGAGAAGUAUGGGCUUCCCUCGAGCAGGAAGAAGCCCUUUCGGUAGAGGAAACCUAUCCCGCUAAUGAUGUCAUCAUGCACUGCUCCAUUCCCUUACUCCCAAGUCUCAAUCAUAGUGUCUUAGUCUAAUUCAUUUGUGAUCGUGAGAGAGAGCAAUGGUUCGCUUUUUUCUUCCCAAUUUUAUAUCAGCAGAUACCAUGUGCUUUAAAAGCGUUAAUUUUAGUUUUAUAUUUGUUUCAAGAAGAGU
Molecule: long non-coding RNA, 1919 nt
Organism: Coregonus clupeaformis (lake whitefish)
Lineage: Eukaryota; Metazoa; Chordata; Actinopteri; Salmoniformes; Salmonidae
Exons: 9
Source: RefSeq, a predicted model, not a curated record